Molecule: long non-coding RNA, 231 nt
Organism: Bombina bombina (fire-bellied toad)
Lineage: Eukaryota; Metazoa; Chordata; Amphibia; Anura; Bombinatoridae
Exons: 3
Source: RefSeq, a predicted model, not a curated record
UCCUGAUCUAAGGACCAGCACUCCAGAAACUGGUGUUGGUAGAGCAACUGGUGAUUUGGGACGUCUUUUCCAGCGAUUGACUGGACAUUCAUCUCCAUUAUUUGAUGAAGAAGAAAACUCAUCAAGGGAGAUCACUAUCAAUCUCAUGCCGAUAGUGGAAAAUCCCAUUCAAGAUGAACCACCAGGAGGGCAUGAUGGAAGUGAGACUCCAGAUAUUCUUGAAGAUUUGGG